RNAcentral lists this ribosomal RNA (456 nucleotides) under uncultured bacterium. Its description in RNAcentral is "bacterial SSU rRNA". It matches the Rfam family "Bacterial small subunit ribosomal RNA", at positions 923 to 1379 of the family's 1533-position model. The record is from RNAcentral.
GCACAAGCGGUGGAGCAUGUGGUUUAAUUCGACGCAACGCGAAGAACCUUACCUGGGCUCGAAAUGUACCGGAAUCCGGCAGAAACGUCGGCGUCUAGCAAUAGACCGGUAUAUAGGUGCUGCAUGGCUGUCGUCAGCUCGUGUCGUGAGAUGUUGGGUUAAGUCCCGCAACGAGCGCAACCCUUAUCUUCAGUUGCUACCAUUUAGUUGAGCACUCUGACGAAACCGCCUCGGAUAACGGGGAGGAAGGUGGGGAUGACGUCAAGUCCUCAUGGCCUUUAUGUCCAGGGCUACACACGUGCUACAAUGGCCGGUACAAACCGCUGCAAACCCGCGAGGGGGAGCUAAUCGGAAAAAGCCGGCCUCAGUUCGGAUUGGAGUCUGCAACUCGACUCCAUGAAGCUGGAAUCGCUAGUAAUCGUGGAUCAGCAUGCCACGGUGAAUACGUUCCCGGGC